RNAcentral lists this ribosomal RNA (498 nucleotides) under uncultured bacterium. RNAcentral's name for it is "partial 16S ribosomal RNA". It matches the Rfam family "Bacterial small subunit ribosomal RNA", at positions 899 to 1397 of the family's 1533-position model. The record is from RNAcentral.
ACUCAAAUGAAUUGACGGGGGCCCGCACAAGCGGUGGAGCAUGUGGUUCAAUUCGACGCAACGCGAAGAACCUUACCCAGGCUUGACAUGCACUGGACCGGCGUGGAAACACGCCUUUCCUUCGGGACUGGUGCACAGGUGCUGCAUGGCUGUCGUCAGCUCGUGUCGUGAGAUGUUGGGUUAAGUCCCGCAACGAGCGCAACCCUUGCCCUUAGUUGCUAACGAGUCAAGUCGAGCACUCUAAGGGGACUGCCGGCGGUAAGCCGGAGGAAGGUGGGGAUGACGUCAAGUCCUCAUGGCCCUUACGCCUGGGGCUACACACGUGCUACAAUGGCCGGUACAGAGGGCUGCGAUACCGCGAGGUGGAGCCAAUCCCAAAAAGCCGGCCUCAGUUCGGAUUGCAGUCUGCAACUCGACUGCAUGAAGUCGGAAUCGCUAGUAAUCGCUGAUCAGCAGGCAGCGGUGAAUACGUUCCCGGGCCUUGUACACACCGCCCGU